CAGUCGUACCGACGAGAAAUCAACUCAACGAAUGGGUAAUUGCGGGCGUAUGAGAGCUUCACGGUCUCAUCGUUUGUAAAUGCAUGUUCUUUGGGUGUACUUUUUCGUAUGGUAGGUCAACGUCGGUUUCGAUUGUUAUAAAAUGAUCGGAGGAAUGUAGCUUCGAUUUCGAUUGAAGUGUUAUAGCCUUUGGUAGAUGUAUUGAUCGAGACCGAGGAUUGCAACGAAUACCCUUUCGGGCUAUCCGUCUGACCUCUGAAAGUUGCUUAGGUGCCGAAAGCUUGCUUACGGUCAUUUAAGCCAGCGGUCAAUAGGUUAGAACGUGAUUAAA
Molecule: ribosomal RNA, 331 nt
Filed under: Glomus sp.
Lineage: Eukaryota; Fungi; Glomeromycota; Glomeromycetes; Glomerales; Glomeraceae
Description: partial large subunit ribosomal RNA
Source: RNAcentral